This 381-nucleotide unclassified non-coding RNA is filed under the name Hevea brasiliensis (rubber tree). The record is from RNAcentral. Lineage: Eukaryota; Viridiplantae; Streptophyta; Magnoliopsida; Malpighiales; Euphorbiaceae.
GCCAGUUUUGGAAUGACACCUGCUUCAAUCAUAUUAUUGUGAUUAGAAGCAGUCAACGCCAAAUUUGCCAGAAUCCCUCCAGCUGCCUCCUUCACUUGCACUUCUUCAUACUCGAGGAACUUUAUUAGUAAAGGCAGGAAAUCAGAGUUGGCAAUUUUGUUUCUGUGUUUCUCAUCCACAGAUAAAUUCCACAAUGUACAUAACCCUUGCUCCAUCACAUCUGAUGAGAGGGAAGAACGUCUGAGGACGGCAUAUAUCUCUUCUACAGCACCACUAUCUGCCACAAGGUCUCUAUAUAUAUCCACUGAGGAUAUCAUCCUUAAUAAACCAGCCGCUGCUUCACAAGCAGCAUUAGAUUCAGACCUUAAAAGGUUCACAGUG